UUUUCCUACGGGAGGCAGCAGUGGGGAAUAUUGCACAAUGGGGGAAACCCUGAUGCAGCGACGCCGCGUGAAGGAAGAAGUAUUUCGGUAUGUAAACUUCUAUCAGCAGGGAAGAAAAUGACGGUACCUGACUAAGAAGCCCCGGCUAACUACGUGCCAGCAGCCGCGGUAAUACGUAGGGGGCAAGCGUUAUCCGGAUUUACUGGGUGUAAAGGGAGCGUAGGCGGUUUAGCAAGUCAGAAGUGAAAGCCCGGGGCUCAACUCCGGGACUGCUUUUGGAACUGCGUGGCUGGAGUGCAGGAGGG
RNAcentral lists this ribosomal RNA (305 nucleotides) under uncultured bacterium. RNAcentral describes it as "bacterial SSU rRNA". It matches the Rfam family "Bacterial small subunit ribosomal RNA", at positions 334 to 656 of the family's 1533-position model. The record is from RNAcentral.